AAAUCAACACAAUCCAGCAAACCUAAUUUUUCGUGCCUUAGGGCAUCAACCCCGAAAAUCCUUUUCAAAGCUAAAACCAACCAAACACACAAACAUUUUCUACUCUGAACUACGGAGCUCUGAUUCCUCAUCCCCGAAUGAGUGAUACAUAGGCACAAGGGCCACAAUCCUUGAUGAACUUUAUAAUAAAAAAAUCCUCUCUUUCACACAUAUUCUUUUGAAAAU
This 225-nucleotide long non-coding RNA is filed under the name Lathyrus oleraceus (garden pea). RNAcentral's name for it is "Pisum sativum (pea) long non-coding RNA (PSAT_LNC014591)". Lineage: Eukaryota; Viridiplantae; Streptophyta; Magnoliopsida; Fabales; Fabaceae. The record is from RNAcentral.